Gambusia affinis (western mosquitofish) is the source of this 792-nucleotide long non-coding RNA. RefSeq lists it as uncharacterized. The record is from RefSeq and is a predicted model, not a curated record. The transcript has 4 exons. NCBI's taxonomy places the organism in Eukaryota, Metazoa, Chordata, Actinopteri, Cyprinodontiformes, Poeciliidae.
GUAAAGUACAGCGAUAUAUUUGUUUUCUCCUGUCUUCCGAAGUCAACAUGGAAGACUACAUUUCAGCACUUGAACAGUUUUCUAAAGUGAAUUUUCAAUUGAAGCAGGAGAUAAUAACUAAAGGAAGACCAACACCGGAGCUGAAAGGUUUGCUUCAAGACAAUUUGAUGAUUCUCAAACGGAGUAGUAUACAAGAAAAAAGAUAUGUCGAGGACAGACUUGGCUUUGGAUGAACGGAUAUUUUUGUGCAGAAUUGACGGUGCAUGGAUUUCAUUUAUAAGUAAAGAUUUUGUAAUUUUACAUCCAGGAUCUUCAGGAGAAUUAAGCAAAGCCCAAACUCCUUGUUCUCAACAAAGACCUUCUGUAUGGCCAAGAAGAGGAAGGAGUGGCCAUCUUCUCCACAACAUUAAUUUUCUCCCUGAAGAUAAGGUGAUGUAGCCCUGGAGCUGCUGCUGGUACUCCUCCCUGCUCCACCUAACACAUUUGGGAGAAGAGUUUCAGACCCAUCAACCUGGAAGUUCUGAAGGUUUCAUUGAUAUCCAGCCUCUUGGGACAAACCUGGUGGCGCAUCUACAAAAUGCGACAACAUAGAACCCGUAUGUCCUCAUGCAGGGAGACAGGCAAAAAUGCAAAAGUGUCAAUAAAAUACUCCUUGUUUAAUGGCUGAAAUUUUUACUUGUAGUUUGCUUUAAAACAAACUUUUUACAGGAGAUAUAAAGGUGUAGUAACAGAUACUUCUGGAGUUGUAGCUUAAUAAUGAGUUGAAGUGAUUUAAUUAUAUACUUUUGAAAC